AUUGAACGCUGGCGGCAGGCCUAACACAUGCAAGUCGAGCGGAUGAAGGGAGCUUGCUCCUGGAUUCAGCGGCGGACGGGUGAGUAAUGCCUAGGAAUCUGCCUGGUAGCGGGGGAUAACGUCCGGAAACGGGCGCUAAUACCGCAUACGUCCUGAGGGAGAAAGUGGGGGAUCUUCGGACCUCACGCUCUCAGAUGAGCCUAGGUCGGAUUAGCUAGUUGGUGGGGUAAAGGCCUACCAAGGCGACGAUCCGUAACUGGUCUGAGAGGAUGAUCAGUCACACUGGAACUGAGACACGGUCCAGACUCCUACGGGAGGCAGCAGUGGGGAAUAUUGGACAAUGGGCGAAAGCCUGAUCCAGCCAUGCCGCGUGUGUGAAGAAGGUCUUCGGAUUGUAAAGCACUUUAAUUUGGGAAGAAGAGCAGUAAGUUAAUACCUUGCUGUUUUGACGUUACCAACAGAAUAAGCACCGGCUAACUUCGUG
This 484-nucleotide ribosomal RNA is filed under the name uncultured bacterium. Its description in RNAcentral is "partial 16S ribosomal RNA". It matches the Rfam family "Bacterial small subunit ribosomal RNA", at positions 30 to 507 of the family's 1533-position model. The record is from RNAcentral.